This 31-nucleotide ribosomal RNA is filed under the name Dactylogyrus anchoratus. RNAcentral's name for it is "partial 5.8S ribosomal RNA". RNAcentral also lists the same sequence under 1 other name. Lineage: Eukaryota; Metazoa; Platyhelminthes; Monogenea; Dactylogyridea; Dactylogyridae. The record is from RNAcentral.
CAACUGCAAGUGGUGGAUCACUCGGCUCGUG